UCCCUGGUGGUCCAGUGGUUAGGACUUGGCGCUUUCACUGCCAAGGGCCCAGGUUCAAUCCCUGGUCAGGGAA
Molecule: transfer RNA, 73 nt
Filed under: Ovis aries (sheep)
Lineage: Eukaryota; Metazoa; Chordata; Mammalia; Artiodactyla; Bovidae
Description: tRNA-Glu (TTC) (tRNA-Glu-TTC-4-1)
Rfam family: tRNA
About the family: Transfer RNA (tRNA) molecules are approximately 80 nucleotides in length. Their secondary structure includes four short double-helical elements and three loops (D, anti-codon, and T loops).
Source: Rfam by way of RNAcentral